This 484-nucleotide ribosomal RNA is filed under the name uncultured bacterium. RNAcentral's name for it is "partial 16S ribosomal RNA". It matches the Rfam family "Bacterial small subunit ribosomal RNA", at positions 28 to 523 of the family's 1533-position model. The record is from RNAcentral.
GACGAACGCUGGCGGCGUGCUUAACACAUGCAAGUCGAACGAUGAAGCUGGAGCUUGCUCCGGUGGAUUAGUGGCGAACGGGUGAGUAACACGUGAGUAAUCUGCCCUUGACUCUGGGAUAACUGCGGGAAACUGUAGCUAAUACCGGAUACGACACCUUCGGGCAUCCGAUGGGUGUGGAAAGAAUUUCGGUCAAGGUUGAACUCGCGGCCUAUCAGCUAGUUGGUGAGGUAAUGGCUCACCAAGGCGACGACGGGUAGCCGGCCUGAGAGGUUGACGGGCCACACUGAGACUGAGACACGGCCCAGACUGCUACGGGAGGCAGCAGUGGGGAAUAUUGCACAGUGGGCGAAAGCCUGAUGCAGCAACGCCGCGUGAGGGAUGAAGGCCUUCGGGUUGUAAACCUCUUUUAGUUGGGAAGAAGCGAAAGUGACGGUACCAACAGAAAAAGCACUGGCUCACUACGUGCCUGCCGCCGUCGUAA